RNAcentral lists this ribosomal RNA (294 nucleotides) under uncultured actinomycete. RNAcentral's name for it is "partial 16S ribosomal RNA". It matches the Rfam family "Bacterial small subunit ribosomal RNA", at positions 220 to 526 of the family's 1533-position model. Lineage: Bacteria; Bacillati; Actinomycetota; Actinomycetes; Actinomycetales. The record is from RNAcentral.
AUUGGAUGAGCCCGCGGCCUAUCAGCUUGUUGGUGAGGUAACGGCUCACCAAGGCGACGACGGGUAGCCGGCCUGAGAGGGUGACCGGCCACACUGGGACUGAGACACGGCCCAGACUCCUACGGGAGGCAGCAGUGGGGAAUAUUGCACAAUGGGCGCAAGCCUGAUGCAGCAACGCCGCGUGAGGGACGAAGGCCUUCGGGUUGUAAACCUCUUUUAGCAGGGAAGAAGCGAAAGUGACGGUACCUGCAGAAAAAGCACCGGCUAACUACGUGCCAGCAGCCGCGGCCGAAU